RNAcentral lists this transfer RNA (65 nucleotides) under Dipodomys ordii (Ord's kangaroo rat). It matches the Rfam family "tRNA". Rfam says of the family: Transfer RNA (tRNA) molecules are approximately 80 nucleotides in length. Their secondary structure includes four short double-helical elements and three loops (D, anti-codon, and T loops). Lineage: Eukaryota; Metazoa; Chordata; Mammalia; Rodentia; Heteromyidae. The record is from Rfam by way of RNAcentral.
GGUGGCUCAGUGGUAGAGCGCUUGCUUUGCAUGCAUGAGGUCCUGGGUUCGAUUCCUCAGUACCA